Molecule: non-coding RNA, 5190 nt
Organism: Chrysemys picta bellii (western painted turtle)
Lineage: Eukaryota; Metazoa; Chordata; Testudines; Emydidae
Source: RefSeq, a predicted model, not a curated record
GCCUCUCUGCAUCUCUCUUUCUUUCUAGCCAUCCCUGGAAUGCUCCCCUAACAUGCCAUAGCUCUAGCAUUUAAUGUAGUUUUUUCUCCCUCUCCUUGUCCUUAGAAAAAAGUAGACGGUACUAGGCAUCUCCUAAUAACGCUGACCCUAGAGUAGUCAUUCUGCUCUGCUUAAUAUGGCUCUCUGUUGAACUGAGCUCAGAGGCCUUUACAGCAUGCAAUAUCAAAGGUUUGUCACUUGCAAGGAUUUUUUCUAAAGGUCAGGCACUACUGGAUCAGCAGUUGCGGAGUGGAGUAGCAGAAUGUUUCUAGGUUAGCACUCAUUAAAAAUUUUCAAGUUUUCAUGAACUUUAGACAUUCAGAAAAACAAACAGCAAAGAGCUUCAACAUUUAAGAAGAUUUUUUUUGUUUUUCUGCCCACUCAGAAAUUUUCAAAAAUUCUGCAUUUUUUUCAAAAUUUGGAAGUAAAGGGGGGAAAAUUUUGAGAAAAUGUUCACAAUUUCCCCCCUCCUUUUAACAAGCUCUAUUCUUAGUAGCACUUACAGUCCUCCAGCAAUUAAAUGGAUUGCAGCCACUUUCCCUUUAGUGCACAGACAUAUCUCCUUCUCCACCGGCAAAAAUCCAAAAUUAACUGAAGAAAAUUAAUGAUGGAUUUGAUGUGUUUGUUUAUUUAGAACACUUAGGUUUAUAAUCCAGGCUUAGUCAAAAAGUAUUCAUCACAUAUUCCAUAGCUAUUCCUGCCUUUCAGAUUAACAGCAUGGCAGUGAGGCGAUGCCACUUCAGCUGGGUGAGAAUUGCAGUAGCAGCUGCUUGCUGUAUUACGACAUACCCCCUUCUGGUGAGCUGAUCCUGUGGCCAAAAUGAUAGUGGCAGCCUUUAUUGGGCUGUUACCACCACGUUUGUGUUCUCAGAAACUUGCCAGAAGAUAUUGCAGCUCCCGAAAAGUGUAUCAGUAGAUAUAGAUUGUGAAAUUCUGGCUUCACUGAAGUUAAGAGAUUGGCUGUUGACUUCAAUAGGGCCAGGAUUUUCCCUAUAGGAUUCUUGAGCUAUUGGUGGUGAAAUACUGUGGUUCUAUAGAAAAUCAAAGUUUGGGUAGAUCACUAGAUUGAUCAGUGGGUUGACUAACAGAUAGCUAGAUAGAUAAGUAUAGAGGUGGUUGGAUAGAAUUUGAGAUUGUACCAAUUACAGAUAGGAUAAGGUCAAUGGGAAGAAAUGUCUUAACCAAUUGUGAUUCCUGGACAUGUGUGCAGUAUUCUGCCUACAUUGUUUGGAACCUAUAAUUUUAGCAGAAGUAAUUUAUACCUCAUAUAAAGCUAAUCACAGUUAGUAUUGUAGCCAUCUAGCAAUUGGUUUGGCAGUGUGUUCUGAAUUGGACAACAGCAGUGAUAUGCUGGGGAGAUAAAGACACAGGCACUCAGAACUAUAAUGAUGAAUGCCAUAAAGAGAGGGGGGAAAAGGACUGAAUUAUGCAGCAAAAAAGGAUAUCAAAAGCCAUGCUCACAGUCAUAGCUCCAGAUAUGCCUGCCAAGCCACAUGCACAUCAUCUGGUAACAAUUCUAUGGCUCUUACAACAGCAGAGUUAAAUCACACCUGUAAUAUGGCAUUUUUCACUGUGUUUUAAAGUACGGAGCCGUCAUCUAGAAUUUGGUUUUCUGGACCAAAAUGUAUCUUCUCCUGUUUGAUGGGACAGAGCUGCAGGUGCCCUGGCAUGUCAGCUGAUACAGGCUGAGAUGUACUCCUGCUCAUGGAGUUUUCACAGCUUAAUCUGGACAAAUGCACCACCUACCUCUUGCAGUGUGAUUGUUGGAGCAGAUGAAACUAGAGGAGAUGGUGAUGGGAAACCAGGCGUGAGGAGGAGAUGUAAAAUGAUGCGUGGAGGUUGUUCCAUGUGGGGGAAUAGCGUGAAAGAAGGAGCAAAGCAUAGAGUGAUGAGAGAGGGGGAUAAGUUAUAUCAGAGGCUUGGUCAGGACAGCUGUCAGGUUUUCCUGUAGGUCGUUGUAGAAACACUCAUGGAAAUGAUGAUGGAUGACCACAGAGACUCGCUGUGGUGCAACUUCAUAGAGCGUAGGUAAGGCAGGCUGGACACAGGGAUCUGACCUGUGAUUAUGUAGACAGGAUGGCUGGAAUCUGUUGUGGGGAUCGAGCACCUGAAAGUGCACAAAAUCUAACCAGAAUAGUGAUUUAACACGCUCUAACGUUAGGGUCCAACUCUGCCACCUUGAUGGUGAGCAGCAUGUACUCACACAGGCCACUCCACUGUGUCCAUGCGACCAUUCUGGGUAAGCACCAGAUGCCAUUUGAAUCGGGUGGCAGAAUCAGGCCCCUGAUAAGGAAUGCAGAUCAGGCUGUGAAGGGCCCAGUGCCUCUAGGGAGCUGAGGAAGUUAGAGCAGACAUUGGACAAGCUCGCUUAGCAGAAGAGCUCUGAGGGUUUGGAGCAUCAUUAUUGCAGUACUGUUUCCUUUUCACUCUCUUUCCCUACCUGCUCCCAUCCCCUUCUCCGCCAUCCCACCUUGCUCUGAAUCAGGCUCAGAGUUGCCCUGCUGGUUUUCAAGACGUAUCACGUCCUUGCCUCAGCCAGCUUCUCCUGCCUCUGAACAGCUCCUUCCAUCUCAGCCUCCUCCCUGACACAUCUCCCUUGACAGUGGCACUCCACUCACUAGCACCACCCUAUCUGUCUGAAGCCCUGUCUCUGCCUCUUAUACUCCUCCAUCUUUCAAUCUCUCUUUGCAACUUUCCUUUCGUUUCCUCCAGCUUACAAGAGACUCUGAUGUUCUCUGUGAAUGUGUGCGUGAAGGCGGCUCCAUAAGAAUACACCACAUUGUAUUACCUCAGGGGCUUUUGAAUUGGUUUUAUUUGUUCAUGCGACUGAUGGAAGAUCAGACCAGGAAAGACCCUCUGGGAUUUCAUAAUCUCCCAGCAGGGUGGUUUUGGGAAGGAGUUCCACACCAGCUUUGCUCUUCUAAAUUAUUUGGGAAUAUUGUGGCAAAGGGAAGCCAAGGGAAUGCUGUGGGAUGUAUGUGAUGCACUGAGGUUCCUUGGAAAACAUGGCACAGUGCUGCCUCCUCUGGUCUUGGGCUGGGGACUCAGCAUUGUAGAAGGAGUAGCAGAAAGUACAAUCUCAUGCUUUUACUCAUGCUGCAUAGGACUUUGUUCCAUGAGUAGUCUUCAUCAGCCUUGUCCAUGCUAAUAUAAACACAUAGCAUGGGGUACCUAAAAUAUUUAAUUAUACCAUUUUUUGAAAACUCCACACAAUUUCCCCUGGUGACAGGAAAUGAGAAAAAUAGAACCACACCUGACAGAUGCUAGUCAGAGUGAGUACAAUUUUCAGAAAUGCCUAUGUGACCACUGUUAUAGCCUUGUUGAUCCCAGGAUAUUAGAGAGACAGGGUGGGUGAGGGAAUAUCUUUUUGUUGAAUCAACUUCUGUUGGUGAGAGAAACACCCGAUGAAGAGCUGUGUAAGCUCGAAAGCUUGUCUCUCGCCAGCAGAAGCUGUUGAUCAGUGAAGGAGAGCUGCAUAAGAACUUAAUGACAGGUUUCAGAGUAGCAGCCGUGUUAGUCUGUAUCCGCAAAAAGAAGAACUUAUAAGAACUUAAAAAGACUAGGACAGAAUAGUCCUGACAUCAGUGGAACCACUUGUGGAGUAAAGAUGGUCUUCCACGUGAGUAAAGAUAUCAGAAUCUGGCCCUCAGUAGGAAGGCAGGAAGCAAUGGCUACUUAUCAUGCAGCAGUUUUUCAGACAGAAAGUGAGUCCUGCAAAAAGAAUUCUGUAAGCACCCUAGCACUUAUUUUUGUAGAGCCUUGUGUAACUGAUUUGUAUGAUGAUACUGACGUAAGAUUUUCAGGUUUGCAUAGGUUUCUUAAAUUUAAAGCAGAUAACGAAGAAUGUUUUACUCCUGACAAAUACAUUAUAUACGUAUGCAUCUGAAGAAGUGGGCUGAAGUCCACAAAAGCUUAUGCUCUAAUAAAUUUGUUAGUCUCUAAGGUGCCACAAGUACUCCUGUUCUUUCUACAUUAUAUUCUGUCUCUCAGUCCUGAUAAAUAAGUUAAUUCAAGUUACUUACUGAUCACCAGUUUCUGGACAGUUCUUACAUUGCUACUCAGCUGGAAGAGGAACAGAAAAUGUUCUGGUUAAGCCCAGUUCCGUUUCAAUAUCUGCUGUUCUGCAGAUGCCCCCGGAAUAGUAGCCCAUGCUCUUAGUCCCAAGUGCCCCUUUUGCCAUUUAGAUAAGUUUGCAGAAGCAAAGACAGAAUGCUUCAAAUCAUCAACAUCAUCAUCUUGGUUUAUUCUUUGAAAGCCACUGAAAACGUAAUUGAUGCGAAACUUAGAGCAUAUUUUUAAACUCCAGGAGCAAACAUGUUUAUAGAAUAACAAAAAAACAUGUUUAAGUUUGUCACUAUUUUGUCCUGAGGUUAUGAAAAUAUUUUGGUGGUGACACCUCUCCAAAUGGUGCUGCAGUGAGUCAGCCAGCCCUAGUUAAGAAGUGAGACUUUUAAACGGCUUGUGGUUUGAGGGGCAAUGUAGCAAUAAUGUUGAUGUCCUCAACCAUGUCUUAAACGAAUGAGUUUAACGAAUUAAAGAAGAAGACAAACCGCUUUUAGCUGAUUGGUGCGGCUGGGUCGUAGGAAGAACUUCCAGCCAAGAGCAAGCUUAUGAGCCGUGUAGCUAUGUGGGCCUGAUGAGCAGAGAGCUAUCUCAAGGAGAGGCUUUGCGCCUAUAAUACAACAUUUUUGACAUCUUAGACCACCACUGAUAUUCUAAAAACUUUUUCGAGAGGAGGCACCAUAAUAUUACAUGAAUACACCCCCUAAGAAGAGCCAGUGAACAGAGAGGACAGGUGCAGAUUAUUACAUGCAGAUGCCACCCUGACUCCCUUGGCGACUAACACCAUCACGCUCCAUGUGGGAAAUCUCAUAAAACAGCAGUAGCCUAUGGGCAUUCUUGACCAGGUUGCAAAGAGCAUCAGGAUUACUAAAACAUACAAAGCAAAGCUGUGUACUGUAGUCAAUUCCAACCUAUUCAGAAAGAUUGAUCCCCCCAUUCAUGGACAUCAGUGAGAUUGAGGACUGUCCAAGGUGUUCAAGCCUCCAAGCUAUUACUACGCCAGCCUUUUUUCAUUAAUCUAAUGUAUACUUCUUGAACUCGGAGUGAGAACUGCAGCUCUGUAUGCGAUAGAGCUGAAGCCACUGGUCA